AGCUAGAUGGCUGAGUCAAUAGGCAAUAAAUUGUAAAUUUAUGGACGGAUAAAUUAAUUCCUCUAGUUA
Molecule: transfer RNA, 69 nt
Filed under: Lysmata amboinensis (scarlet cleaner shrimp)
Lineage: Eukaryota; Metazoa; Arthropoda; Malacostraca; Decapoda; Hippolytidae
Description: tRNA-Tyr
Source: RNAcentral